Molecule: ribosomal RNA, 471 nt
Filed under: uncultured bacterium
Lineage: Bacteria
Description: bacterial SSU rRNA
Rfam family: Bacterial small subunit ribosomal RNA
Source: RNAcentral
AUGCCUUACACAUGCAAGUCGAACGGCAGCACGGGAGCUUGCUCCUGGUGGCGAGUGGCGAACGGGUGAGUAAUACAUCGGAACGUACCCUGAAGUGGGGGAUAACGUAGCGAAAGUUACGCUAAUACCGCAUAUUCUGUGAGCAGGAAAGAGGGGGGAUCGCAAGACCUCUUGCUUUAGGAGCGGCCGAUGUCGGAUUAGCUAGUUGGUGAGGUAAAGGCUCACCAAGGCGACGAUCCGUAGCGGGUCUGAGAGGAUGAUCCGCCACACUGGGACUGAGACACGGCCCAGACUCCUACGGGAGGCAGCAGUGGGGAAUUUUGGACAAUGGGCGCAAGCCUGAUCCAGCCAUGCCGCGUGAGUGAAGAAGGCCUUCGGGUUGUAAAGCUCUUUCGGUGGGGAAGAAAUUGCUUCGGUUAAUACCUGGAGUAGAUGACGGUACCCGCAUAAGAAGCACCGGCUAACUACGUG